This 914-nucleotide ribosomal RNA is filed under the name uncultured archaeon. RNAcentral's name for it is "bacterial SSU rRNA". It matches the Rfam family "Archaeal small subunit ribosomal RNA", at positions 1 to 922 of the family's 1478-position model. The record is from RNAcentral.
UUCCGGUUGAUCCUGCCGGACCUGACUGCUAUCGGAUUGAUACUAAGCCAUGCAAGUCUUUGUAGUAAUACAAGGCGUACGGCUCAGUAACGCGUAGUCAACCUACCCUAUGGAUGGGGAUAAUCUCGGGAAACUGAGCAUAAUACCCAAUAGAUCAUCAAUUCUGGAAUGGUUGAUGAUUCAAAUGAUUUUUCGCCAUAGGAUGGGACUGCGGCCUAUCAGCUUGUUGGUGAGGUAAUGGCCCACCAAGGCAAUUACAGGUACGGGCUCUGAGAGGAGAAGCCCGGAGAUGGGUACUGAGACAAGGACCCAGGCCCUAUGGGGCGCAGCAGGCGAGAAAACUUUGCAAUGUGCGAAAGCACGACAAGGUUAAUCCGAGUGAUUUCUGCUAAAGGAAUCUUUUACCAGUUCUAAAAAUACUGGCGAAUAAGGGGUGGGCAAGUUCUGGUGUCAGCCGCCGCGGUAAAACCAGCACCUCAAGUGGUCAGGAGGAUUAUUGGGCCUAAAGCAUCCGUAGCCGGCUCUGUAAGUUUUCGGUUAAAUCUAUAUGCUCAACGUAUAGGCUGCCGAAAAUACUGCACAGCUAGGGAAUGGGAGAGGUAGACGGUACUCGGUAGGAAGGGGUAAAAUCCUUUGAUCUAUCGAUGACCACCUGUGGCGAAGGCGGUCUACCAGAACAUGUUCGACGGUGAGGGAUGAAAGCUGGGGGAGCAAACCGGAUUAGAUACCCGGGUAGUCCCAGCUGUAAACGAUGCAGACUCGAUAAUGCAUUGGCACAUAGCCAGUGCAGUGUCGCAGGGAAGCCGUUAAGUCUGCCGCCUGGGAAGUACGUACGCAAGUAUGAAACUUAAAGGAAUUGGCGGGGGAGCACCACAAGGGGUGAAGCCUGCGGUUCAAUUGGAGUCAACGCCGGA